Molecule: long non-coding RNA, 1338 nt
Organism: Rosa rugosa (rugosa rose)
Lineage: Eukaryota; Viridiplantae; Streptophyta; Magnoliopsida; Rosales; Rosaceae
Exons: 5
Source: RefSeq, a predicted model, not a curated record
AGUAAAUAUGAAGCAAUUGAUAGCACUUCUCCCCAAAAAUUCAGAGGCAAGUCUACAUGGGACAUCACCGAUCUUGUCAUCUCCAUUAGGGUUCUACUUCUUCUUUCUGCGAUGCCAUUUUGUUGUGGUAUAUAUGACAUAGUAUAAUUGUGUCUUAUGCCAUGUUCUUUUCUUUGCAGAACUCUCCCUAAUUGAGUUUCUACUUCUUUCUUAAAUUUCUUGAAUUUUUCCAAGGCGUCCGAUUUAUUUUUCAAGAAGUAGACAUACCCAUUACGCACUACAAAAAAUAAUUGCAACCGCUACCCCAGUUGGCGUCGGCAUCCUUUUGCCGUCGCUAAAAAUUGACUAUUUGCUUCGGCAAAGUUACGCCGUCGCAAAACUUGCGACUGAAUUACUACGCCGUGGCAAUGGGGUAGCCAAAAGUAGCCUAUUUUUCUUCGGCGAACGUUUGCAGUCGCAAAUUUCCAUACUUGGCGACUGCGUCUACAAUGCCGUCGCAUGAGAGAACAGCUACGUACGAGCCCAAUUCUCUUAUUAAAUCUAUUUUCUAAUCAAAAAGCCCUAACCUAUUUCCCUCAAUCUCUGUUCGAUCUCUACCGCAACCCUCUUUCUCUUCCUCUUCGUUCUGGAUCUAACCCAACAAAUAACAUCGCAGAACUUGGUGGCCACUGUGUUGGUCUAAAUCCAGGGAUUAUUCUUUUUGGUUAUUUCAAUUUGGUUUUCUCUUCAGUCGUUCCUCUCUCUCUCUCUUUGAAUCCGAUUCAACUCAGAUGCGUCCAAUUUAAUGGCUGUGUCAUUCGUGAGAGAUUCGUUCUGUCCGAGCGGAAUUCAUGAGGAAUUUCGAUUGAACUCGGAUGCGUUCUCUUCUCUGUUCUCGGAAAGUUCGCAUCUUGUUGGCUACUAUUUGGUUGGAGCGCAAGGAUUCCCUAGCUGGAGCAGUACUUUUGGCCUUAAGGCAACAUUGUUAUGGAGAAAUUUGAGAGGAGGGGCAUGAAGUAACAAACCAAGUAGGGGAACAUAUCACCUCAAGUACGAUUCUGGAUUACUCGCAGCAGCCCCCUAUUCAGGAACUAAUUGGAAGGGAUCUUCAUGAUAUAUAAUGAAUGGAAAUUCAGACAUAUUUCGAGGAGGCUUGCAACAACACUAGAGUAAUUGGUACAUGAAGUAGAUCGAGGAAGAUCCCUGCAAAGUUCAUCUUGAAGUAGAGGAAAAUAACUAACUUGUAAAGCUUAAUUAUCGAUCUUGUAAAUUUUGGUAGAAGCUUCAAUAUUCAUUUUGUAACAUUUAUGAGGAAAAUUAAAGUGUAACAUUUCCUUUUAUAUAAGCUUCAUUCCUUUU